ACUUAUAUAAACUAACAUAUUGGGUUAGUGUUUCUACCUCUUAACCAAUUAAGAGACUAUAAGU
This 64-nucleotide non-coding RNA is filed under the name Spiroplasma taiwanense CT-1. RNAcentral describes it as "2dG-I riboswitch aptamer (M. florum)". It matches the Rfam family "2dG-I riboswitch aptamer (M. florum)". The record is from Rfam by way of RNAcentral. Lineage: Bacteria; Bacillati; Mycoplasmatota; Mollicutes; Entomoplasmatales; Spiroplasmataceae.